This 636-nucleotide long non-coding RNA is filed under the name Mytilus galloprovincialis (Mediterranean mussel). Lineage: Eukaryota; Metazoa; Mollusca; Bivalvia; Mytilida; Mytilidae. The record is from RNAcentral.
GGAAGGCAAUUUUUAUUUAAUUUUGUGUGGAUGGUUGUAUUUGAAAUACCAAAUUGCAAAAAGAGUGUUGUUUUAAUUUUUAUUAUUUCUAUGGGUGGCUGGUGUUAAAAAAAAUUGCUAUCCUUGGGGUACAUAGAAUUUUCUGGAAGAACCCGUACAUUUUUUCACAUUACUUUAUAAAACUUUCUGAAAACAAAACCAUUUCUCAAAAAUGUAAUAUGAAACAGUUUAGACUGUCUCAGGGUCAUUCAAAAAUUUAUUGUGUUAUGGGGUUUAAGGCAAAAAAAAAUAAAUACAGGUGAACUGCAUUUUGUUUAGAAUUUUGUAAGAAAUAUAAGUAAACUAUAGGCUUCAAGGAGCCUGUGUUGCUCAGCUGAUAUUUUUAUAUACGGUUGAUAAAAAUAAAAGGACUCCCCGUUUAUUAUGUUUAGAACAGCUCUGACUCUUUCAAUGCUUAUCUAGUUAAACAAUUAAUACAAUUAAAAUAUUGAUCAAGGGUUAUUCCAUUAAAAUUAAUGUAGAAAAGAUAUGAGGAAUUUUAGAAGGAUAUGUAUAAGAUGUUGCAAAACUAAUCAAAUGAAAAGAUAACAUGUUGGUUUUCAGAAAAUGAACUUAUAAAAUAGGGUUCUAAAAACU